GACGAACGCUGGCGGCGUGCCUAAUACAUGCAAGUCGAACGGAAAGGCCCGGCUCUUGUGGCGUGCUCGUGUGCCGAGCAGGGGAGAAACACGCGUGUAACAUCUCCCUGUCUUUGGGAGAAAACCUGGAAAAACGGGCUCUAAUCCCAUAUGAGCUCUUGCUGCACGGGGGUGGUUGGUAAGAGUCGGCGGUGGGGGAUGGAAUAGCGGCUUAUCAGCUUCUUGGUGGGGUAGUGGCGUACCAGGGCUUUGACGGGUAGCCGGCCUGAGAGGGUGACCGGCCACAAUGGGACUGAGGUAGGGCCCAGACUGCAACGUGAGGCAGCGGUGGAAAGUAUUGCGCAAUGGGCGGAAGCCUGAUACAGCGGCGCCGCGUGCGGGAUGACGGCUUUCGGGGUAUAAACCGCUUUCGCCUGUGACGAAGCGUGAGUGACGGUAAUGAGUCAGGAAGCACCGGCUAACUACGUG
Molecule: ribosomal RNA, 468 nt
Filed under: uncultured bacterium
Lineage: Bacteria
Description: partial 16S ribosomal RNA
Rfam family: Bacterial small subunit ribosomal RNA
Source: RNAcentral